This is a non-coding RNA of Triticum urartu, 1403 nucleotides long. NCBI's taxonomy places the organism in Eukaryota, Viridiplantae, Streptophyta, Magnoliopsida, Poales, Poaceae. The record is from RefSeq and is a predicted model, not a curated record.
CCCCUUCCGUGCCGUCAUGGACACCGCCGAGCUCCUCCUCCACAAGAUCUGCUACCAGGGCGACCAUGCCGACAACACGUGGUGCUGGUGGUGCCCUACGCUUGCUGCAGCGCGCUCAUCGGCAAAGGAGGCACGCUCAUUGACUUCAGGGUGAGGAGGCGGAGGAGUAAGGGCGCAACCAGCCGGCAGCCCUGUCCUGCUUGAGGGGGGGGCAAGAGGGGUCUGCUCCUCUGCUUCCAUUGCGACCGCGGCAGGAGCAAUGUUGCUGAUGGCGACGGGUACGUGAUGGUGGCUAGUGUGGUGGACGACCCGACCAAACCAAUGAUGCAAGGCUUCUCCUGCUGCUGCAUGUCUUCAUCAACUUAGUUCUUCCACAGGGAGAGAUAAAUUCUUCACUUGUUCACUGUGUAAUCUGCAGAUUACUUCCAUUAAUCACCUAGUGCUCCUGUUAGUGAGAUUCAUCUAGUAUUUCUUUUUGCAAAGCAUGCAAUGGUCUGGAGUACUUGAUCAUGACCUGAUGGAACAUGUCGUUACAGCAGCUAGAAGCAAUCCAUUUUAUUAAAUGCAUUCUAGUUAGGAUUCGGUCAUGGCAACACCUUGCUAUUUUCUUUUCUUUAAAUCUGGUUGCAAGUUUACUAUUUUUCCAGAACCAUCAUCUUACAUUUUGGGCAGCGGGCAUUGAAAUUUAGGCAUUUAUGUAUAAUUUUAGUUCUGGAUGUGUCCUAUGCAAACAUUACUAUCAAUUGUCAAGUUGAUUCUAAAAUGUCUCAUUAACUAAAUUUUAGAUGGUGAUUUCUAGAUUUAGUACCAAUUUAUUGUUGGCCUGGCCUAUGCUCAAUACCUUGCUCUAUACCAAUUUAUUUCAUUAUUUUGUUAUUUACGGUUAAAUAUGCUAUCAUUAGCUCUGAGAAAAUGUUAUGUUUUUGCUGAUUAGUGGCAGUACAUCUUUGCUUUACUAUUCCUAGCAGCUGCAGUUCAUCUACCAUAAACAUGUUGUGUACAUUCUGAACCCCCAAACAUGACACAAGUGGAAUGUAACUUGUACAAUUUUUACUUGAAUAUGUUCAGUUAUGAAGUCGUGUAGUUGUUUUUUCUCAUCAGUUCUAAACUGCAGUACUUUACUGAAUUGUUGAUGAUCCUGAAUGAAUCUAGCUUGUUGGGUUCAGUCUCUUGUUUAGUUGGAAUAGCACCCCAUCACCUGUUGUUGUUGUUGUUAUUCACCCUAUCCUUGCUGUUCUGUUUUCUUGUUGGAAAAUAUUUUGAGUAAAUUCAAGACGAAAGAUGUUCAAAGAAGCUCCAAGACAUUCUUAUAUAGCAAGUUAUGUAAUAAUAGCUGGGUUAUCUGGGAAUUUAAUGUAUCUUCUCUCUGUUUGUGAAUGAAAUAGUAAUUAUGUAUGUGAAUU